RNAcentral lists this ribosomal RNA (840 nucleotides) under Flavobacterium sp. 4cultural_124. RNAcentral describes it as "bacterial SSU rRNA". It matches the Rfam family "Bacterial small subunit ribosomal RNA", at positions 301 to 1148 of the family's 1533-position model. Lineage: Bacteria; Pseudomonadati; Bacteroidota; Flavobacteriia; Flavobacteriales; Flavobacteriaceae. The record is from RNAcentral.
AGAUCCCCCACAUGUGUACCUGAGACCACGGACAGACUCCUACGGAAGGCAGCAGUGAGGAAUAUUGGACCAUUGGCGCAAGCCUGAUCCAGCCAUGCGCGUGCAGGAUGACGGUCCUAUGGAUGUAAACUGCUUUAUACGAGAAGAAACACUGCUUCGUGAAGCAGCUUGACGGUAUCGUAAGAAUAAGGAUCGGCUAACUCCGUGCCAGCAGCCGCGGUAAUACGGAGGAUCCAAGCGUUAUCCGGAAUCAUUGGGUUUAAAGGGUCCGUAGGCGGUUUAAUAAGUCAGUGGUGAAAGCCCAUCGCUCAACGGUGGAACGGCCAUUGAUACUGUUAAACUUGAAUUAUUAGGAAGUAACUAGAAUAUGUAGUGUAGCGGUGAAAUGCUUAGAGAUUACAUGGAAUACCAAUUGCGAAGGCAGGUUACUACUAAUGGAUUGACGCUGAUGGACGAAAGCGUGGGUAGCGAACAGGAUUAGAUACCCUGGUAGUCCACGCCGUAAACGAUGGAUACUAGCUGUUGGAAGCGAUUUCAGUGGCUAAGCGAAAGUGAUAAGUAUCCCACCUGGGGAGUACGUUCGCAAGAAUGAAACUCAAAGGAAUUGACGGGGGCCCGCACAAGCGGUGGAGCAUGUGGUUUAAUUCGAUGAUACGCGAGGAACCUUACCAAGGCUUAAAUGUAGUUUGACCGAUUUGGAAACAGAUCUUUCGCAAGACAAAUUACAAGGUGCUGCAUGGUUGUCGUCAGCUCGUGCCGUGAGGUGUCAGGUUAAGUCCUAUAACGAGCGCAACCCCUGUUGUUAGUUGCCAGCGAGUCAUGUCGGGAACUCUAACAAGA